This 351-nucleotide long non-coding RNA is filed under the name Setaria viridis. Its description in RNAcentral is "long non-coding RNA (SVIR_LNC008734)". Lineage: Eukaryota; Viridiplantae; Streptophyta; Magnoliopsida; Poales; Poaceae. The record is from RNAcentral.
AUAUGUACUGCCUUGGCCUCUUCGAUAGUCUAUCACCAAGGCGCUUGAAAAUUAGCCUUUGAAACUAGCUGAAGUCUUCCAAGACUUGUGAUACUUCUUCUUGGGAGAGUCGAACUGGUGGUGUCAAGUUGUUGAUUUCGUCUUCAGACUCUCCCGGGAACUGGAUCUCUUCAGCAGAUGAGCUGGAGCCUGCAUGUUGAUCAACAUUCUUGUUCAAUUUAGAAAUUUCUAUUUCAGCCUCGUAGCGGAGCAACUACAAACCUUUCCCAUAUUGCUCAUGCUUUAGAGCAUAUUCUCUUCCAGUAAAAGUCUGCAGCCUCUUCUUUGAAGUUGCAUUGGCCUUCACCCCCC